Long non-coding RNA from Gallus gallus (chicken), 847 nucleotides. The record is from Ensembl. NCBI's taxonomy places the organism in Eukaryota, Metazoa, Chordata, Aves, Galliformes, Phasianidae.
GGAUGGGGUUGCUCAGCCAGCCAAAACACCUGGAGAAAACAGCAGGAAUAACACAGGGCUUGGCUUUCCCAGCUUCAACCAGAGAUUUUUUUCCACUUCUUCUAUACAGUGGUUGUGAGCUCUUUUCUUCCAGACCUCGCAUUGUUGUGACUGUCCUUACCUUACUCUCAUGGCUGGAAUUGAUCCCUACAAGGCACCUUAAAGGACCCAGAUGCAGAAACCUUGGUUGUAUUUGACAGCCAGUGUAUGACAGCAUGGCCACACGCUGCUUAUAUAUAUACUGGAAUGCGGUUUCAGAGCCUGCAAGCCAUGAGAAUGAUUGCCCCCAGCCAGCACACCCAUGGCUGGAUGCUUUUGGAUAAAAGCAGUGCUGUCAUGCAUGCCCCACAGCACAGGGUCUCCUACAGAUGGAAGCAGAGCUUUGCAAAUUCAAGUAUUUCGGGGAAAUGAGCCAUAUCCCUGUUUUAACUGGCUAUAUCUGGAAAGAGAAUUGGCAACGAGGUGGAUUAUGUUGGCUGGAAAGAGCAGCCUCUCCCACAGGACCGGACAGAGUCUGAGAUGAUGAGGAAAUAGGCCAAAGAGAAGCCGCAGCGCAGAGCAGACUGGUGUUCCCUGUUCCCACGGAGAAGCUGACCCAUGAGAGAUGCUAGUCAUCCAGCAGCUGGGAAAGCUGCCUCUGCAAGAGCUGAAGCAGCUCAGAGCUCUGCAGAAAGAGCUCCAGUGGUCCUGGCCAUGAGGCUUUUUCAUCUACAAGAUCCAGGGAGCCCAAGUUCCCACUCACCCCUUCCAGGACCCUCCAGGACAUGCAAGACACCACUGCUAUGGGAAUGACCCCAGAGAUGGCCAC